AUAGUUAUUGUAAAUUUAUUGGCAACAAGUAAGGGAGGAAAAGCCAAAAACCCGCGGGAGGGAAAGCAGUAGCUAUCCCCAUGGAAACAGCAGCAUAGAGGGUAUAGAAACAUUGCUAUCUGGUCGUCCUUGCUGAGGAGCAUCUUUUCCCAGAAUGCCUCAGGGAAGAUGCCAAAACUACUAAAGAAAAGACAGCUACAUUUGUGGAAUAGAUUACAAUCGCGAUCUGGCAGAAUUACUGUCACUAGGUUGGACAUCAUUACUCCUCCUGACCAUGCUCUCAAAAAAAAAAAUGUUGGUGCUCAUGAUCCCGUAGGUUUGGAUCUUCCUACUCGUGAGGAUGACAGUUUCAGAGUCAUUCUGUCUAUUCAUGAAGAACCUUUUUAAACACUCUUUUGCUUUUCCGCUGCCACUGAAUU
Molecule: long non-coding RNA, 419 nt
Filed under: Rattus norvegicus (Norway rat)
Lineage: Eukaryota; Metazoa; Chordata; Mammalia; Rodentia; Muridae
Description: long non-coding RNA NONRATT012517
Source: RNAcentral